This 1137-nucleotide ribosomal RNA is filed under the name uncultured bacterium. RNAcentral describes it as "bacterial SSU rRNA". It matches the Rfam family "Bacterial small subunit ribosomal RNA", at positions 60 to 1212 of the family's 1533-position model. The record is from RNAcentral.
AGUCGACGCCCAGCAUGGGAGUGGCGCACGGGUGCGUAACGCGUAUGCCACCUACCUAUAACUGGGGGAUAGCCUUCCGAAAGGAAGAUUAAUACCCCAUAGUAUCCUUUGAGGGCAUCUAAAGAGGAUUAAAGAUUUAUCGGUUAUAGAUGGGCAUGCGUGACAUUAGCUAGUUGGUUGAGGUAACGGCUCACCAAGGCUACGAUGUCUAGGGGUUCUGAGAGGAUGAUCCCCCACACUGGUACUGAGAUACGGACCAGACUCCUACGGGAGGCAGCAGUAGGGAAUAUUGGGCAAUGGACGCAAGUCUGACCCAGCCAUGCCGCGUGCGGGAUGAAGGCCUUCUGGGUUGUAAACUGCUUUUAUCUAGGAAGAAAACGCCCAUGCGUGGGAAACUGACGGUACUAGAUGAAUAAGCACCGGCUAACUCCGUGCCAGCAGCCGCGGUAAUACGGAGGGUGCAAGCGUUGUCCGGAUUUAUUGGGUUUAAAGGGUGCGUAGGCGGCCUAUUAAGUCAGUGGUGAAAGCCAACAGCUCAACUGUUGAACUGCCAUUGAUACUGAUAGGCUUGAGUACAGACGAGGUAGGCGGAAUUGAAGAUGUAGCGGUGAAAUGCAUAGAUAUCUUCAAGAACACCGAUUGCGUAGGCAGCUUACUAGGCUGUAACUGACACUGAGGCACGAAAGCGUGGGGAUCAAACAGGAUUAGAUACCCUGGUAGUCCACGCCCUAAACGAUGGAUACUCGACAUACGUGAUAGACUAUGUGUGUCUGAGCGAAAACAUUAAGUAUCUCACCUUGGAAGUACGACCGCAAGCCCCCCCCUCAAAUAAAUUUUCGGGGGUCCGCGCAAGCGAAAAAGCAUGUGGUUUUAUUUGUUGAUAAGCGAGGAACCUCCCCUGGGCUAGAAUGCAGUUGGGCGGUGGGUGGAAGGUCACUUCCCCUCCGGGGGCCGAGUGUAAGAAAAUGCAUGGCUGUCGUCCCCUCCUUCCGUGAGGUGUUGGGUUUAAUUUUGCAGCGAGCGCAACCCCUAUCUCUAGUUGUUAUCACGUAAAACCGCGGACUCUAGUGAAACAGCCGUCGUAAGACGUGAGGAAGGAGGGGAGGAUGUCAAGUCAUCAUGGCCUUUAUUCCCAGG